Melitaea cinxia (Glanville fritillary) is the source of this 100-nucleotide long non-coding RNA. RefSeq lists it as uncharacterized. The record is from RefSeq and is a predicted model, not a curated record. NCBI's taxonomy places the organism in Eukaryota, Metazoa, Arthropoda, Insecta, Lepidoptera, Nymphalidae. The transcript has 3 exons.
AGAUGCAGCGUGUUUCGAAAAAGGUUUUAGUAUAUCAUAUGUUGGUGAUUACUUAUCGUGUAAGAAAAUAUGGACAGACAGAAGUCGCUAGUUUGAGGUA